This 468-nucleotide ribosomal RNA is filed under the name uncultured bacterium. RNAcentral describes it as "partial 16S ribosomal RNA". It matches the Rfam family "Bacterial small subunit ribosomal RNA", at positions 28 to 507 of the family's 1533-position model. The record is from RNAcentral.
GACGAACGCUGGCGGCGUGCUUAACACAUGCAAGUCGAACGGAAAGGCCCUGCUUUUGUGGGGUGCUCGAGUGGCGAACGGGUGAGUAACACGUGAGUAACCUGCCCUUGACUUUGGGAUAACUUCAGGAAACUGGGGCUAAUACCGGAUAGGAGCUCCUGCUGCAUGGUGGGGGUUGGAAAGUUUCGGCGGUUGGGGAUGGGCUCGCGGCUUAUCAGCUUGUUGGUGGGGUAGUGGCUUACCAAGGCUUUGACGGGUAGCCGGCCUGAGAGGGUGACCGGCCACAUUGGGACUGAGAUACGGCCCAGACUCCUACGGGAGGCAGCAGUGGGGAAUAUUGCACAAUGGGCGGAAGCCUGAUGCAGCAACGCCGCGUGCGGGAUGACGGCCUUCGGGUUGUAAACCGCUUUCGCCUGUGACGAAGCGUGAGUGAUGGUAAUGGGUAAAGAAGCACCGGCUAACUACGUG